Molecule: non-coding RNA, 203 nt
Organism: Pelobates cultripes (western spadefoot toad)
Lineage: Eukaryota; Metazoa; Chordata; Amphibia; Anura; Pelobatidae
Source: the annotation of a GenBank genome assembly
AACCAGUUAAGUACAUACUUUUAUGCUCUGUGUUUAGUAGUAAUUUAUGACCUUGUGAUUACUUUUAAUUCACUCGCUUGCUCCUUUUAUGGUUUUCUCUUAGAGCCUUGCUCUGGCAUUGUAUUUUUGUUUCCCUGUGGUGUGCUACUCUGGUCCCCCUUUUCACCGCACAUGGCGUUACCGCCGUCCGUCCUACCCCAUCC